GUGCCAGCAGCCGCGGUAACAAGAAGAGUGUGAGCGUUGUCCGGAUUUAUUGGGCGUAAAGGGCUCGUAGGUGGUUGAUCGCGUCGGAAGUGUAAUCUUGGGGCUUAACCCUGAGCGUGCUUUCGAUACGGGUUGACUUGAGGAAGGUAGGGGAGAAUGGAAUUCCUGGUGGAGCGGUGGAAUGCGCAGAUAUCAGGAGGAACACCAGUGGCGAAGGCGGUUCUCUGGGCCUUUCCUGACGCUGAGGAGCGAAAGCGUGGGGAGCGAACAGGCUUAGAUACCCUGGUAGUCCACGCUGUAAACGGUGGGUACUAGGUGUGGGGUCCAUUCCACGGGUUCCGUGCCGUAGCUAACGCUUUAAGUACCCCGCCUGGGGAGUACGGCCGCAAGGCUAAAAACUCAAAGGAAUUGACGGGGGCCCCGCACAAGCGGCGGAGCAUGCGGAAUUAAUUCGAUGCAACGCGUAGAAACCUUACCUGGGGUUUUGACAUGGGAUCGGGAGUGCUCAGAAAAUGGGUUGUGCCUCUUUUUGGGGGUCGGUUCACAGGUGGGGGCAUGGCUUGUCGUCAGCUCCGUGUCGUGAGAUGGUUGGGUUAAGGUCCCCGCAACGAGCGCAACCCUUUGGUUCACUUGUUGCCAGGCACGUUAAUGGUGGGGGACUCCAGGGGAGACCCGCCGGGGUCCAACUCGAAAGGGAAGGUGGGGGAUGACGUCCAAGUCAUCAUGCCCCCUUAAUGUCCAGGGUUUCCCCCAUUGCCUACAUUGGCUGGUCAAGAGAGUGGCGAGCCCUUUAAGUGUGAGCAAACUCUCGGAAAGGCCGGGCCUCAGUUUCGGAUUGGGGGUUGCA
This 847-nucleotide ribosomal RNA is filed under the name uncultured bacterium. RNAcentral describes it as "bacterial SSU rRNA". It matches the Rfam family "Bacterial small subunit ribosomal RNA", at positions 505 to 1309 of the family's 1533-position model. The record is from RNAcentral.